Molecule: long non-coding RNA, 242 nt
Filed under: Bos taurus (domestic cattle)
Lineage: Eukaryota; Metazoa; Chordata; Mammalia; Artiodactyla; Bovidae
Description: long non-coding RNA NONBTAT004842
Source: RNAcentral
GUCUAAUUGUGGUAAGGAACAAUAAACUAGGUUUAAGUAUCUUUAAAGAUAGAAUUUUAAAUAGGCAUGAACUGUAGUGAGAACUGACUUUUAGUAAACAUGGUACCUUCUAUUCUAAUAAAACAUUCACUUUAUUUACCUAAAGAAUUUAGGUUGCUUAUGAAUCCUUUUUUUAAUCUCUAGGUUAGCUCUAAUUAUUUUAUGAUUCUUAACACUUUUUUUUUAAUGUAACUUUUUUUUGG